CCUACGGGUGGCAGCAGUGAGGAAUAUUGGUCAAUGGGCGCAAGCCUGAACCAGCCAAGUCGCGUGAGGGAUGACGGUCCUAUGGAUUGUAAACCUCUUUUGUCGGGGAGCAAAGCGCGGUACGAGUACCGUGAAGGAGAGUACCCGAAGAAAAAGCAUCGGCUAACUCCGUGCCAGCAGCCGCGGUAAUACGGAGGAUGCGAGCGUUAUCCGGAUUUAUUGGGGUGAAAGGGUGCGUAGGCGGACUGUUAAGUCAGCGGUAAAAGCCCGGGGCUCAACCCCGGCGAGCCGUUGAAACUGGCUGUCUGGAGAUGUCGAGAGGUAUGCGGAAUGCGCAGUGUAGCGGUGAAAUGCUUAGAUAUUGCGCAGAACUCCGAUUGCGAAGGCAGCAUACCGGCGGCGAUCUGACGCUGAGGCACGAAAGCGUGGGUAUCGAACAGGAUUAGAUACCCGGGUAGUC
Molecule: ribosomal RNA, 460 nt
Filed under: uncultured bacterium
Lineage: Bacteria
Description: partial 16S ribosomal RNA
Rfam family: Bacterial small subunit ribosomal RNA
Source: RNAcentral